This is a non-coding RNA of Misgurnus anguillicaudatus (oriental weatherfish), 1340 nucleotides long. NCBI's taxonomy places the organism in Eukaryota, Metazoa, Chordata, Actinopteri, Cypriniformes, Cobitidae. The record is from RefSeq and is a predicted model, not a curated record.
CCCGCCGCAAUCGCGCUACUCCUUCCGCCCAUCAUGACGAAAUAUAAAACAACAGGACAAGAGAGAAAUUACACGAUAUUAAUAAAGACAGAGAUAUAUAGAGAUUAGAAUAACUGCAUGACCCUCAGACACACACGAGGAAGGACCUCUGUGACGUCACAAGCGGUGACAGAUGAGCUGCCCGUCACAACCGCCUGAUCAAAAGUAAAGCAUUAUGAACUGAACCUGACUAAAUCACAGAUACCGUUACGCAACCAGGUGAACUGAGUCCAGUCCACCUGGUGUGUUUAUAUCGAGCAGAGAAAACACUACGAUACGUGAUGCAAUGAGUCAACAGAUGCGCCACAGCUGGAGUCUCACGUGACUCAUUGGCUGCACGGAUCCAAAGAUCCGCCUCCUGGCUGCCAUGGCAACUGCAGGAUGUUUGGCAGCGGGCCGCAGAGAGAUGCAAUGAAUGCGGCCUCCGAGAUCAGUCGGCCAAAACACGAAUGGAAAAAGAGAGUGUGUGUGCGCACGCACGAGAGAGAGAGCAGUAAAAAAGUGAGAGAGCCCAUGCGCUCUCAGUAGUUUGGCGUCCAUCCAGGGUAACCAUAAUGCAGAGAAAGAAAUGAGACUCUUGGCAGGACACCAGGUCUGAAAGAACAAAGAUGUGUGCGCUUCGAACGCGGGCGACUGGGGCCGCUUGGCAGCGUGAACGCUUUCCCAUCAACCUUUGCAUUGAAAGAACGCCACUCUAGUUUCCAGUCCUGCAAAGAGGAUUAUGGCGAGAGAGAGAGAGAGAGACAUAAAACCAAGUGGGAAAAAAACUUCAACUACAAGUCAUCCGAAACCCUUUCCCCAAUUGUACCUCAGUGCGUUGGCUGCACCUCAGAAAGCUUCUGUCCUUUUCGCUAGAGUUCAAAACUCUCGUGCAAAUCCUUUAUUAAUGAGUUUAACACAUUCGCUUUUACUUAAACAUCCAAACAUGCAGUCUGUGUCCUUUGCAUUGAUCUCGGCGUCGGCUGUCGAUGGUUAUAUAUCUUUUCUUCAAUGCAGUGUGUUUUUCUGCUGAUUACUAUGAGAGAAAUAUUUAUUUCUCUCCUGCCCUUCAGCUGGCUGCGCACACGGCUCUCCAUCAAAGUGACGCUGUGAUUUACAGCCUGCGCACUCAGCAGGGAUGCUGAAAUUUAGCGCAUGCUUUUCAAUCACAUUAAAUCAAAAGCUUUUCAGCCUGUAGUGCAUUGUGCAGGUAAAUAACACUCAGUGUGGCUCUAUGUUAUUUUACUGCCUCUGUAUGUUAACAUGAAUUGAGAAUGCAAGCAAAACACUGUAAACAGGAAGCGGUUAGUCAUACCGGCUAU